This 441-nucleotide ribosomal RNA is filed under the name uncultured bacterium. Its description in RNAcentral is "partial 16S ribosomal RNA". It matches the Rfam family "Bacterial small subunit ribosomal RNA", at positions 338 to 795 of the family's 1533-position model. The record is from RNAcentral.
CCUACGGGUGGCAGCAGUGGGGGAUAUUGCACAAUGGGGGGAACCCUGAUGCAGCGACGCCGCGUGGGUGAAGGAGCGUUUCGGCGCGUAAAGCCCUAUCGGCAGGGAAGAAGGAGGACGGUACCUGACUAAGAAGCCCCGGCUAACUACGUGCCAGCAGCCGCGGUAAUACGUAGGGGGCAAGCGUUAUCCGGAGUUACUGGGUGUAAAGGGGGCGCAGACGGAGGCGGAGGCCAGGAGUGAAAGCCCGGGGCCAAACCCGGGGGCGGCUCUUGGAAGUGCGCGGCUGGAGUGCAGGAGGGGCAGGGGGAAUUCCGGGUGUAGCGGGGAAAUGCGUAGAUAUCAGGAGGAACACCGGUGGCGAAGGCAGCCUGCUGGACUGCGACUGACGUUGAGGCCCGAAAGCGUGGGGAGCAAACAGGAUUAGAUACCCCUGUAGUC